AGUGUGUUGUGUCUGUCGGCGUCUCCCAUGCUGCUCACGAACACAAAUGCACUCU
Molecule: microRNA precursor, 55 nt
Filed under: Oreochromis niloticus (Nile tilapia)
Lineage: Eukaryota; Metazoa; Chordata; Actinopteri; Cichliformes; Cichlidae
Description: microRNA oni-mir-10893 precursor
Source: miRBase by way of RNAcentral